AUUCAGCUGACGAGUCUCAAAUAGGACGAAACUCGCGUCCUGGAU
Schistosoma curassoni is the source of this 45-nucleotide non-coding RNA. NCBI's taxonomy places the organism in Eukaryota, Metazoa, Platyhelminthes, Trematoda, Strigeidida, Schistosomatidae. The record is from Rfam.